AUGAACGCUGGCGGCGUGCCUAAUACAUGCAAGUCGAGCGAACGGACGAGAAGCUUGCUUUUCUGAUGUUAGCGGCGGACGGGUGAGUAACACGUGGAUAACCUACCUAUAAGACUGGGAUAACUUCGGGAAACCGGAGCUAAUACCGGAUAAUAUUUUGAACCGCAUGGUUCCAAAGUGAAAGACGGUCUUGCUGUCACUUAUAGAUGGAUCCGCGCUGCAUUAGCUAGUUGGUAAGGUAACGGCUUACCAAGGCAACGAUGCAUAGCCGACCUGAGAGGAUGAUCGGCCACACUGGAACUGAGACACGGUCCAGACUCCUACGGGAGGCAGCAGUAGGGAAUCUUCCGCAAUGGGCGAAAGCCUGACGGAGCAACGCCGCGUGAGUGAUGAAGGUCUUCGGAUCGUAAAACUCUGUUAUUAGGGAAGAACAUAUGUGUAAGUAACUGUGCACAUCUUGACGGUACCUAAUCAGAAAGCCACGGCUAACUACGUG
Molecule: ribosomal RNA, 496 nt
Filed under: uncultured bacterium
Lineage: Bacteria
Description: partial 16S ribosomal RNA
Rfam family: Bacterial small subunit ribosomal RNA
Source: RNAcentral